This 126-nucleotide small RNA is filed under the name Arabidopsis thaliana (thale cress). RNAcentral's name for it is "ATSL212940". The record is from RNAcentral. Lineage: Eukaryota; Viridiplantae; Streptophyta; Magnoliopsida; Brassicales; Brassicaceae.
UUUUUUUUUGCAUUUCAGCGCCUACACUUACUUAUACAUCAAACAAAUAAGUUUACUAAUCUUAUUGUUUAUCAAUUUAAUUCCUAAUUUUAGAUUUCAUAACUAUUUCACAUAUAUCCUUAUAAA